UGUCUUCGAGAGAGACUUGCCCGGUGUGCUGUAACUAACCGUUGUUAGACUCCUUUGUAAUAUUAGCAUUGUGCAGAAGUUCUCUGCUUCUUAUCAUGAAAGAUCAUUUUCAAAUGAAGUUCAUUUAUCGUGCCUACACAUUCCCUUCUAAACAUAAUGCUUCAAGCUGAACCACGAAAGAGGUGGGUAUAAGAGGCCACAGACUGUGUGCUUUUUGUUUACGUGAAAUCUCCAGAGACAAGGAAACUGUUGCGGCUUUAAAGCCGAAAGGUGGCUGGAAGGGCCAGAGGCUCGGAAACUGGUACCGUGGCAUUUGGCUUGCAGACGUGUGUCUAUGCACUACAUGCAUGUCUGGUGCCCAAGGAAGCCGGAAGAGGUUGCCCGAUCUCCUGGAACUGGAGUUACAGACAGUUAUGUCCUGCUAUGUGGAUGCAGGGAAUUAAGACCAAGUCGUCUAGAAAAGCAGCCACUGCUCUUAAGUACUGAGCCAUGUCUCCACCCCCUAGAAGAACUCAAGUUCAGGUUCUACCACCCAUGUGGUAGGUUGCACAUAACCAUCUACAAAUGAGUUUCAGAAGAUCCAACAUCCUGUUCUGGCCUUCACCAGGUUCUUCUACAAUAGGGUGUUGGAAAGAGAAGUCUGCAUUUAAGGUUUGCUUUCUAAGAUGAGAGAACUUUUUUUGUGGCUGAUCUAUGACACAGCUAUCAGAUGUGGGCGCUGGAAACUGAGCCCAGGUCCUCUCCAAGUGCUCUCAACCACUGAAGCACGUCUCCAGGCCUGGCUGCCAAGCCUGCUUGAUUGAAAGCAUGAGGAUAAAUGUCCCAGCUCUUGAUGCCUGAGUCAUAGAACCAACCCUGGAUACCCUCCUUAUGUGAUAACUACCUCUGUCCUUGAAUCAUUUUCAAUUAGUUACUCUUCUUUACAGCAGAAACUAUCUCAGCUAAAACAGUGACCAAGAGCCAGGUGGACAUGUCUUUAAUCCCAGCACUCAGGAAGUGGAGCCUGGUCUACAGAGUGAGUUCCAGGACAGCCAGGGUUACACAGAGAAACCCUGUCUCCAAAACCAAUUAAUUAAAACAUAAAACAGUG
Molecule: long non-coding RNA, 1090 nt
Filed under: Mus caroli (Ryukyu mouse)
Lineage: Eukaryota; Metazoa; Chordata; Mammalia; Rodentia; Muridae
Description: predicted gene 5103 (MGP_CAROLIEiJ_G0005622.1)
Source: RNAcentral